This 206-nucleotide ribosomal RNA is filed under the name uncultured bacterium. Its description in RNAcentral is "partial 16S ribosomal RNA". It matches the Rfam family "Bacterial small subunit ribosomal RNA", at positions 568 to 774 of the family's 1533-position model. The record is from RNAcentral.
UGCGUAGGCGGUGCUCUAAGUCGGAUGUGAAAACUCUGGGCUCAACCCAGAGCCUGCAUCCGAAACUGGAGUGCUAGAGUUCUGGAGGGGGUAGCGGAAUUCCUGGUGUAGCGGUGAAAUGCGUAGAUAUCAGGAGGAACACCGGUGGCGAAGGCGGCUACCUGGACAGAAACUGACGCUGAGGCACGAAAGCUAGGGAGCAAACA